This 253-nucleotide ribosomal RNA is filed under the name uncultured bacterium. Its description in RNAcentral is "partial 16S ribosomal RNA". It matches the Rfam family "Bacterial small subunit ribosomal RNA", at positions 524 to 776 of the family's 1533-position model. The record is from RNAcentral.
UACGGGGGGGGCAAGCGUUGUUCGGAAUUACUGGGCGUAAAGGGCUCGUAGGUGGCCAACUAAGUCAGACGUGAAAUCCCUCGGCUCAACCGGGGAACUGCGUCUGAUACUGGGUGGCUUGAAUCCGGGAGAGGGAUGCAGAAUUCCAGGUGUAGCGGUGAAAUGCGUAGAUAUCUGGAGGAAUACCGGUGGCGAAGGCGGCAUCCUGGACCGGCAUUGACGCUGAGGAGCGAAAGCUAGGGGAGCAAACGGG